GAAUGGGAGAAGAAUCUGGAUGUCACAUCUGUCACCCCACUGAUCACCAGGGUUAUUUCAGCUGACCUAGUUGAUCUAGCAAGUGUUUCUUUCCUCCCUCACCAUUUCAUGUGAGUCCCUCCAGAAACUGGCAGUCAGUCAGUCAAAGAGGAGGACCUUCCCUGACAGAGAAAGACUGAGGAAUACUUUUCUUUGAUCAAGGGUCUACAAAUUAAUUGCACUCUACUGCUAGAGUCUCCAAACAGGCAACAUCUCCCUUCUCCAAGAUAAGAGUAAACAGUAGAAUGCUUCCCAGAGGUUUUAUUUUAUUUAUUUAUUAUUUAUU
Molecule: small nuclear RNA, 325 nt
Filed under: Nannospalax galili (Upper Galilee mountains blind mole rat)
Lineage: Eukaryota; Metazoa; Chordata; Mammalia; Rodentia; Spalacidae
Description: 7SK RNA (ENSNGAG00000006227.1)
Rfam family: 7SK RNA
About the family: 7SK was discovered as an abundant small nuclear RNA in the mid-70s but a possible function has only recently been suggested. Two independent studies have found that 7SK RNA binds the CDK9/cyclin T complex (known as elongation factor P-TEFb). P-TEFb activates transcription by phosphorylating the C-terminal domain of RNA polymerase II.
Source: RNAcentral